This 239-nucleotide unclassified non-coding RNA is filed under the name Glomus sp. RNAcentral describes it as "partial contains 5.8S ribosomal RNA and internal transcribed spacer 2". The stretch from base 1 to 71 matches the Rfam family "5.8S ribosomal RNA", at positions 84 to 154 of the family's 154-position model. Lineage: Eukaryota; Fungi; Glomeromycota; Glomeromycetes; Glomerales; Glomeraceae. The record is from RNAcentral.
GUGAAUCAUCAAAUCUUUGAACGCAAAUUGCACUUUCUGGUAUUCCGGAAAGUAUGCCUGUUUGAGGGUCAGUUAAAUCAAAAUCGGUGUUGUUGCUGCCUUUCGUGGUGACGCGGCGGAAUUGGGUCGUCCUACCUUCGGUUAAGUGACUUAAAAUUUUUGCAUGAUUUUGGAGCAUAUUUAACUCUCUUACGUAGGUUUGAGCCAUCGACUGUUAAUUAGGUUCGGUCAUUCCCAUC